AUCUUCAUUCAAUUCAAUCAUAAUCAGACAAACAAAACAAGCGUGAAUGUGUGUUUGUGUUGAUGAUAUGAUUGGCGAUGAUAACAUCACCACAACCAACCAUCAACACCCCUACUCAUUUUGCAAUGAUCCUUCCGCAGGUUCACCUACGGAAA
Molecule: unclassified non-coding RNA, 155 nt
Filed under: uncultured fungus
Lineage: Eukaryota; Fungi
Description: sequence contains ITS1
Source: RNAcentral